GACAGAGGGUGCAAACGUUGUUCGGAAUUACUGGGCGUAAAGCGUGCGUAGGCGGUUUGUUAAGUCCGUUGUGAAAGCCCUGGGCUCAACCUGGGAAUUGCAGUGGAUACUGGCGAGCUAGAGUGCGGUAGAGGAUGGUGGAAUUCCCGGUGUAGCGGUGAAAUGCGUAGAGAUCGGGAGGAACACCCGUGGCGAAGGCGGCCAUCUGGACCAGCACUGACGCUGAGGCACGAAAGCGUGGGGAGCAAACAGG
RNAcentral lists this ribosomal RNA (253 nucleotides) under uncultured bacterium. RNAcentral's name for it is "partial 16S ribosomal RNA". It matches the Rfam family "Bacterial small subunit ribosomal RNA", at positions 524 to 776 of the family's 1533-position model. The record is from RNAcentral.